GACGACCGCUGGGUGACGGCGGUUCCGGGGCUGCCGACCCCGGUGACGUUCUGCGAGAUCUUCCCGCCGGACGACU
RNAcentral lists this transfer RNA (76 nucleotides) under Streptomyces spongiicola. RNAcentral describes it as "tRNA-Gly". The record is from RNAcentral. Lineage: Bacteria; Bacillati; Actinomycetota; Actinomycetes; Kitasatosporales; Streptomycetaceae.